UGAAUAAAGGGAGAUUUCUUGUGGGUUUUUUUUUUUUUUUUUUUGAAAUGGAGUCUUGCUCUGUUGCCCAGGCUGGAGUGCAGUGGUGCGAUCUCGCUCACUGCAAGCUCCACCUCCCGGGUUCACGCCAUUCUCCUGUCUCAGCCUCCCCAGUAACUGGGACUACAGGCACCUGCCACCACGCCCAGCUAAAUUUUUUUGUAUUUUUAGUAGAGACAGGGUUCCACAGUGUUAGCCAGGAUGGUCUUGAGCUCAUGACCUCAUGAUCCGCCCACCUCGGCCUCCCAAAGUGCUGGAAUUACAGGCCGAAUCAGGAUGUUGACCGUGGCCACAUCCACGUCCCAGAGCUUCUUCACAGUCUGUUUGAUCUGGUGCUUGUUGGCUUUAACAUCGACAGUGAAUACAAGCGUGCUGUUGUCUUCUAUCUUCUUCACGGCUGACUCAGUGGUCAGUGGAAACUUGAUGAUAGCAUGGUGGUCAAGCUUGUUUCUCCGGGGGGUGCUCAUCCCAGGAUAUCUGGACUGGAGUCGCAGUGUCUUGGGACGCUGGAAGAUAUUAUUUCCCACUGAUGCUUUUCUGAAAGCUCCUGCAAUCAGCUACAGGUCAGAAUGCUUGUCUCCAACACAGGACUCCCUCUGAGAGUCACCUGUCUGCUCACCGAGAGAAAUGCGUAUCUGAGUGCCGCAUCGGGAGAGGGUAACCAGCAACUCAAAAGAAUGAAACCAUUUGUCUCUUACCUACCUAUGACCUGGAAGCUCCCUGUCUGGCCUUCUCUUCAAGUUGUCUCACCUUUCUGGAGUGAACCAAGAUGGAGUUUCACUCUUGCUGCCCAGGCUGGAGUGCAGUGGCACAAUCUCGGUUCACUGCAACCUCCUCCUCUCAAGUUCAAGCGAUUCUCCCGCCUCACCCUCCUGAGUAGCUGGGAUUACAGGCAUGC
RNAcentral lists this long non-coding RNA (937 nucleotides) under Piliocolobus tephrosceles (Ugandan red Colobus). Its description in RNAcentral is "lncRNA (ENSPTEG00000012980.1)". The record is from RNAcentral. Lineage: Eukaryota; Metazoa; Chordata; Mammalia; Primates; Cercopithecidae.